Molecule: long non-coding RNA, 570 nt
Filed under: Brassica napus (rape)
Lineage: Eukaryota; Viridiplantae; Streptophyta; Magnoliopsida; Brassicales; Brassicaceae
Description: long non-coding RNA (BNAP_LNC021022)
Source: RNAcentral
ACGGAGGAGACGGAUUGCGGAGUCGAAACAGAGGAGUCGGAGGGUGGAGUCGCGACUCCGAGUCGGAGGGCGGAGUGGAAACAAAGGACACGGAGGGCGGAGUCGAGACGGACGGAGGAGACGGAGUGCGGAGUCGAGACGGAGGGCGGAGUUGCGACUGAAAAGACGAAAUCACCAAAGGAGCCAUGAGAAGGUUGAGCUGCUUCAUACAAGACUUAGAAUGGAGUAACAAGACGGACGAGCGCAGACGGUGGCUUCAAGAUAGGAGAUCUUCUUGUGUUCCAUACAUUGCUCAGAUGAAAAAACAAGGAGAAAAAAUUCAAAAUUUGAAUCUAGAUCUAAGAUCUGCAGAGAGAAUUCUCUCUCUACAUUUUAUCGUAUUCUCUACUUAUACAUAGUUUUAUAUAAGGUUUUGACAUAAAGCUAGAGAGGUAUAUAUAUACACAUAGAUACACAUAUAUACAAUUGCUUCUAGAUGUUAGAGAGAGAGAAGGAGAGUUGAACUUAUAAUUGCUUCUAGAUGUGAGUUGGUGGGAAGGAUUUGAAUGAGUAGUAGUGUAUGGUGGCCUU